UGGGGAAUAUUGCGCAAUGGGCGAAAGCCUGACGCAGCGACGCCGCGUGAGGGAUGAAGGUUUUCGGAUCGUAAACCUCUGUCAGAAGGGAAGAAACCGCACUGUGCUAAUCAGCAGUGCCUUGACGGUGCCUUCAAAGGAAGCACCGGCUAACUCCGUGCCAGCAGCCGCGGUAAUACGGAGGGUGCAAGCGUUAAUCGGAAUUACUGGGCGUAAAGCGCACGUAGGCUGCUUUGUAAGUCAGGGGUGAAAUCCCACGGCUCAACCGUGGAACUGCCUUUGAUACUGCUUAGCUUGAAUCCGGGAGAGGGUGGCGGAAUUCCAGGUGUAGGAGUGAAAUCCGUAGAUAUCUGGAGGAACAUCAGUGGCGAAGGCGGCCACCUGGACCGGUAUUGACGCUGAGGUGCGAAAGCGUGGGGAGCAAACAGG
RNAcentral lists this ribosomal RNA (429 nucleotides) under Fusobacteriota bacterium. Its description in RNAcentral is "Fusobacteria bacterium partial 16S ribosomal RNA". It matches the Rfam family "Bacterial small subunit ribosomal RNA", at positions 355 to 776 of the family's 1533-position model. Lineage: Bacteria; Fusobacteriati; Fusobacteriota. The record is from RNAcentral.